GACGAACGCUGGCGGCGUGCCUAAUACAUGCAAGUAGAACGCUGAAGAGAGGAGCUUGCUCUUCUUGGAUGAGUUGCGAACGGGUGAGUAACGCGUAGGUAACCUGCCUGGUAGCGGGGGAUAACUAUUGGAAACGAUAGCUAAUACCGCAUAAAAUGGAUUAUCGCAUGAUAAUCCAUUGAAAGGUGCAAAUGCAUCACUACCAGAUGGACCUGCGUUGUAUUAGCUAGUUGGUGGGGUAACGGCUCACCAAGGCGACGAUACAUAGCCGACCUGAGAGGGUGAUCGGCCACACUGGGACUGAGACACGGCCCAGACUCCUACGGGAGGCAGCAGUAGGGAAUCUUCGGCAAUGGACGGAAGUCUGACCGAGCAACGCCGCGUGAGUGAAGAAGGUUUUCGGAUCGUAAAGCUCUGUUGUAAGAGAAGAACGAGUGUGAGAGUGGAAAGUUCACGCUGUGACGGUAUCUUACCAGAAAGGGACGGCUAACUACGUGCCAGCAGCCGCGGUAAUACGUAGGUCCCGAGCGUUGUCCGGAUUUAUUGGGCGUAAAGCGAGCGCAGGCGGUUAGAUAAGUCUGAAGUUAAAGGCUGUGGCUUAACCAUAGUACGCUUUGGAAACUGUUUAACUUGAGUGCAAGAGGGGAGAGUGGAAUUCCAUGUGUAGCGGUGAAAUGCGUAGAUAUAUGGAGGAACACCGGUGGCGAAAGCGGCUCUCUGGCUUGUAACUGACGCUGAGGCUCGAAAGCGUGGGGAGCAAACAGG
Molecule: ribosomal RNA, 765 nt
Filed under: uncultured Streptococcus sp.
Lineage: Bacteria; Bacillati; Bacillota; Bacilli; Lactobacillales; Streptococcaceae
Description: bacterial SSU rRNA
Rfam family: Bacterial small subunit ribosomal RNA
Source: RNAcentral